UUAAGUUCAGCGGGUAUUCCUACCUGAUCCGAGGUCAACCUUGGUGGGGUCGGUCUUUGCAGACCUGGUUUUACGGCCGGAAAGCUCCUCCGCGGGCCUCCUGAGCGAGAUAUUUUACUACUGCGCUCGGAGCCGCGGCGGGUCCGCCACUGUCUCUGGGGGCCUCCCGCGAGGGAGAUGCCCCGACGCCAGGCACCAGG
RNAcentral lists this unclassified non-coding RNA (200 nucleotides) under Ascomycota sp. RNAcentral's name for it is "partial internal transcribed spacer 2". Lineage: Eukaryota; Fungi; Ascomycota. The record is from RNAcentral.